Pelobates cultripes (western spadefoot toad) is the source of this 247-nucleotide non-coding RNA. Lineage: Eukaryota; Metazoa; Chordata; Amphibia; Anura; Pelobatidae. The record is from the annotation of a GenBank genome assembly.
CAUGUUCAAACAUUAAAUAGCACUGAACUGGUAAAGACGGCCACAUUAUUUAAAUCCAGCAUCAUCUAAUAAUGCCAUCUACAACUUUGUACAUUAAUAAAAAUAAAUUGAAUGUGUAAUUUUAUGCGAUAUCAACAUUGGAACAUUUGAAUUUGCUCAUUCUUGAAAAGAUUGCAUGGAGAGAGAUAACAUUAAAUAGUAAAUGAAUGACCUUUUUAUUAUCAGUAGGGUAAAUGCGAUCCAUCAU